AGAGUUUGAUCAUGGCUCAGGACGAACGCUGGCGGCGUGCCUAAUACAUGCAAGUAGAACGCUGAGGUUUGGUGUUUACACUAGACUGAUGAGUUGCGAACGGGUGAGUAACGCGUAGGUAACCUGCCUCAUAGCGGGGGAUAACUAUUGGAAACGAUAGCUAAUACCGCAUGAGAGUAAUUAACACAUGUUAGUUAUUUAAAAGGAGCAACUGCUUCACUGUGAGAUGGACCUGCGUUGUAUUAGCUAGUUGGUGAGGUAAAGGCUCACCAAGGCGACGAUACAUAGCCGACCUGAGAGGGUGAUCGGCCACACUGGGACUGAGACACGGCCCAGACUCCUACGGGAGGCAGCAGUAGGGAAUCUUCGGCAAUGGACGGAAGUCUGACCGAGCAACGCCGCGUGAGUGAAGAAGGUUUUCGGAUCGUAAAGCUCUGUUGUUAGAGAAGAACGUUGGUAGGAGUGGAAAAUCUACCAAGUGACGGUAACUAACCAGAAAGGGACGGCUAACUACGUGCCAGCAGCCGCGGUAAUACGUAGGUCCCGAGCGUUGUCCGGAUUUAUUGGGCGUAAAGCGAGCGCAGGCGGUUCUUUAAGUCUGAAGUUAAAGGCAGUGGCUUAACCAUUGUACGCUUUGGAAACUGGAGGACUUGAGUGCAGAAGGGGAGAGUGGAAUUCCAUGUGUAGCGGUGAAAUGCGUAGAUAUAUGGAGGAACACCGGUGGCGAAAGCGGCUCUCUGGUCUGUAACUGACGCUGAGGCUCGAAAGCGUGGGGAGCAAACAGGAUUAGAUACCCUGGUAGUCCACGCCGUAAACGAUGAGUGCUAGGUGUUAGGCCCUUUCCGGGGCUUAGUGCCGCAGCUAACGCAUUAAGCACUCCGCCUGGGGAGUACGACCGCAAGUUUGAAACUCAAAGGAAUUGACGGGGGCCCGCACAAGCGGUGGAGCAUGUGUUUAAUUCGAAGCAACGCGAGGACCUUACCAGUCUUGACAUCCUUCUGACCGCUUAGAGAUAGCUUUCUCUUCGAGCAGAUUGACAGUGGUGCAUGAUGUCGUUCAGCUCUUCCUGAAUGUUGGCUUUAAGUUCGCAACGAGCGCACCCUAUGUCAGUUGCAUCAUUAGUUGGCACCUUCUAUAG
Molecule: ribosomal RNA, 1138 nt
Filed under: uncultured Streptococcus sp.
Lineage: Bacteria; Bacillati; Bacillota; Bacilli; Lactobacillales; Streptococcaceae
Description: bacterial SSU rRNA
Rfam family: Bacterial small subunit ribosomal RNA
Source: RNAcentral